CUAGUUUGACCUUGAUGAAUCAGAUAGAUUCUCAGUCUUUGAACGCUAGCUAUCGAUAGAUUAGCAAAGAAGUCACAACCAUGUUUGCUACUAAAAUUUUAACCCUGGUCUUUCUUGUGGUGGUUCUUUUGAUAUGCAUGAAUACGGUUCAAGGACAGUCCAUGCUUGGUGUCGAUUCUACUCUAUGUGGUGGGUGUCCUGCGGGUCAGUACUGCCAGGUCCUGUACCCACCCUGCGCUCACCCUCCCCCAGACUGUACCACCUGCCAAUUCAACUGCCAACCCAUCCACAGAUGUGUGGCACCGUUGUAAGAGAGGUGCAGCAAGAAGACUAGGCUAGUUGUCGACACACGAUAAAUUUUCUUGUACAGAGGGGAAAAAAUGUACCAUAGGCUACACUGCGUUAACAAUCACUGAAGUAGAAUCUACUUAAAAAUAAAGUUUAUAGCCUUCUGAAA
This is a long non-coding RNA of Physella acuta, 457 nucleotides long. RefSeq lists it as uncharacterized. The record is from RefSeq and is a predicted model, not a curated record. Lineage: Eukaryota; Metazoa; Mollusca; Gastropoda; Physidae.